This 586-nucleotide small RNA is filed under the name Pongo abelii (Sumatran orangutan). RNAcentral describes it as "retained intron". Lineage: Eukaryota; Metazoa; Chordata; Mammalia; Primates; Hominidae. The record is from RNAcentral.
UGGAUCCAGGAAAGAGGGUCUGUGGCAGUUAAUGACGAUUAAUGCCUGUGUGCUUUUCAGAACAUUGAGCUGAAGGUUGAAGUGGAGAGCUUGAAACGAGAACUCCAGGACAAGAAACAGCAUCUGGAUAAAACAUGGGCUGAUGUGGAGAAUCUCAACAGUCAGAACGAAGCUGAGCUCCGACGCCAGUUUGAGGAGCGACAGCAGGAGACGGAGCAUGUUUAUGAGCUCUUGGAGAAUAAGAUCCAGCUUCUGCAGGAGGAAUCCAGGCUAGCAAAGAAUGAAGCUGCGCGGAUGGCAGCUCUGGUGGAAGCAGAGAAGGAGUGUAACCUGGAGCUCUCAGAGAAACUGAAGGGAGUCACCAAAAACUGGGAAGAUGUACCAGGAGACCAGGUCAAGCCCGACCAAUACACUGAGGCCCUGGCCCAGAGGGACAAGUAGGUGCCUUCGGUGCUCUUUUUGUCGCUUGUCUUUUGCCCAUUCUCAAGGCAUACAGCAGCUGCACUGUUCCCUUUCAAGGACUGACAGUAGGAGCUUCACUAUUUCUAAGACUUUAUGGGCCUACAACCAAAGACAUUCUUUGCAG